AUUGAACGCUGGCGGAAUGCUUUACACAUGCAAGUCGAACGGCAGCACGGACUUCGGUCUGGUGGCGAGUGGCGAACGGGUGAGUAAUGUAUUGGAACGUGCCCAGUCGUGGGGGAUAACGUAGUGAAAAUUACGCUAAUACCGCAUACGAUCUAUGGAUGAAAGCGGGGGAUCGCAAGACCUCGCGCGAUUGGAGCGGCCGAUAUCAGAUUAGGUAGUUGGUGGGGUAAAGGCCCACCAAGCCAACGAUCUGUAGCUGGUCUGAGAGGACGACCAGCCACACUGGAACGGAGACACGGUCCAGACUCCUACGGGAGGCAGCAGUGGGGAAUUUUGGACAAUGGGCGAAAGCCUGAUCCAGCUAUUCCGCGUGCAGGAUGAAGGCCCUCGGGUUGUAAACUGCUUUUGUACAGAACGAAAAGGUUUCUACUAAUACUAGGAGCUCAUGACGGUACUGUAAGAAUAAGCACCGGCUAACUACGUGCCAGCAGCCGCCGCAG
RNAcentral lists this ribosomal RNA (500 nucleotides) under uncultured bacterium. Its description in RNAcentral is "partial 16S ribosomal RNA". It matches the Rfam family "Bacterial small subunit ribosomal RNA", at positions 30 to 523 of the family's 1533-position model. The record is from RNAcentral.